GAUGAAGAACGUAGCGAAAUGCGAUAAGUAAUGUGAAUUGCAGAAUUCAGUGAAUCAUCGAAUCUUUGAACGCACCUUGCGCCCCUUGGUAUUCCGAGGAGCAUGCCUGUUUGAGUGUCAUGAAACCCUCAAACCCAAGUUUUGGAUUUCGAUCCAUGCUUGAGUUUGGAUUUGGAUGUUUGCCGGUGAUGAACCGACUCAUCUUAAAAGUAUUAGCUUGGAUCUGUCUAUAUGACUGGUUUGACUUGGCAUAAUAAGUAUUUUGCUGAGGACAUCUUCGGAUGGCCAGGACCUAGACUACUGUCUGCUAACUAAACCAUCACUUUAAGUGCAUCUUUGGAUGUUACUCAUUGUGUAACUUUGACAUCUGGCCUCAAAUCAAGUAGGACUACGCGCUGAACUUAAGCAUAUCAAUAAGCGGAGGA
Molecule: unclassified non-coding RNA, 425 nt
Filed under: soil metagenome
Description: partial contains 5.8S ribosomal RNA, internal transcribed spacer 2, and large subunit ribosomal RNA
Rfam family: 5.8S ribosomal RNA (bases 1-120)
Source: RNAcentral